RNAcentral lists this ribosomal RNA (402 nucleotides) under uncultured bacterium. Its description in RNAcentral is "bacterial SSU rRNA". It matches the Rfam family "Bacterial small subunit ribosomal RNA", at positions 355 to 774 of the family's 1533-position model. The record is from RNAcentral.
UGGGGAAUAUUGCACAAUGGGCGAAAGCCCGAUGCAGCAACGCCGCGUGAGUGAUGAAGGCCUUCGGGUUGUAAAGCUCUGUCUUCUGGGACGAUAAUGACGGUACCAGAGGAGGAAGCCACGGCUAACUACGUGCCAGCAGCCGCGGUAAUACGUAGGUGGCAAGCGUUGUCCGGAUUUACUGGGCGUAAAGGAUGCGUAGGCGGAUACUUAAGUCAGAUGUGAAAAUCCCGGGCUUAACUUGGGAACUGCAUUUGAAACUGGGUAUCUAGAGUGCUGGAGAGGAAAGUGGAAUUCCUAGUGUAGCGGUGAAAUGCGUAGAGAUUAGGAAGAACACCAGUGGCGAAGGCGACUUUCUGGACCGUAACUGACGCUGAGGCAUGAAAGCGUGGGGAGCAAACA